UAGCGAAAAAUGAGGACAAUGACAGAAGC
This 29-nucleotide non-coding RNA is filed under the name Mus musculus (house mouse). The record is from RNAcentral. Lineage: Eukaryota; Metazoa; Chordata; Mammalia; Rodentia; Muridae.